This 68-nucleotide transfer RNA is filed under the name Mileewa ponta. RNAcentral's name for it is "tRNA-Thr". Lineage: Eukaryota; Metazoa; Arthropoda; Insecta; Hemiptera; Cicadellidae. The record is from RNAcentral.
GUUUUUAUAAUUUAAAUAAAAUAAUGAUUUUGUAAAUCAAAUAUAGGAAAUUUUAAACCUUAAAAACA